This 495-nucleotide ribosomal RNA is filed under the name uncultured bacterium. Its description in RNAcentral is "bacterial SSU rRNA". It matches the Rfam family "Bacterial small subunit ribosomal RNA", at positions 8 to 525 of the family's 1533-position model. The record is from RNAcentral.
AGAGUUUGAUCAUGGCUCAGAUUGAACGCUGGCGGCAUGCUUUACACAUGCAAGUCGAACGGUAACAGGCCUUCGGGCGCUGACGAGUGGCGAACGGGUGAGUAAUGCAUCGGAACGUGCCCAGUCGUGGGGGAUAACUGCUCGAAAGAGUGGCUAAUACCGCAUACGAUCUGCGGAUGAAAGCGGGGGACCUUCGGGCCUCGCGCGAUUGGAGCGGCCGAUGUCAGAUUAGGUAGUUGGUGGGGUAAAGGCUCACCAAGCCAACGAUCUGUAGCUGGUCUGAGAGGACGACCAGCCACACUGGGACUGAGACGCGGCCCAGACUCCUACGGGAGGCAGCAGUGGGGAAUCUUAGACAAUAGGCGCAAGCCUGAUCUAGCCAUGCCGCGUGAGCGAUGAAGGCCUUAGGGUUGUAAAGCUCUUUCACCGGUGAAGAUAAUGACGGUAACCGGAGAAGAAGCCCCGGCUAACUACGUGCCAGCAGCCGCGGUAAUA